Molecule: non-coding RNA, 48 nt
Organism: Schistosoma mansoni
Lineage: Eukaryota; Metazoa; Platyhelminthes; Trematoda; Strigeidida; Schistosomatidae
Source: Rfam
AUCCAGCUGACGAGUCCCGAAUAGGACGAAACUCGCGUCAAACUGGAU